Acanthochromis polyacanthus (spiny chromis) is the source of this 1525-nucleotide long non-coding RNA. RefSeq lists it as uncharacterized. The transcript has 3 exons. NCBI's taxonomy places the organism in Eukaryota, Metazoa, Chordata, Actinopteri, Pomacentridae. The record is from RefSeq and is a predicted model, not a curated record.
AGAGGCAUAUUGUAUGUGAUGGACUGCAACCACUGCUGGUAAAUGCUGUAUCACAUCGGUCAUGCAGAAUAGGCAGACCACGGAGUCACUCAACACGCCCACAGUUUUACCAUGCAGGUUAGAUCAGUUAUUUACAAUAAGUGGGGCUGUACCCAAUGUUGAUUCAUACACUUUUGGCUUCCAGGCUGCAUAGAACCCAAAUACGUGACUUUAACUUUACAUAAUGUCUAAACAGCCUCGUUUCCCUCAUUUCUCUCUUUCUGUCCAUGUACAGUCAUAAACAAAAGUUUACAUAUUUGUGAAGAACAUGUAUGUCAUGGUAAUCUUGAGUUUCCUCCUAUAACUCGGAAUUUUCUGUGAUGGAAUCAUUGAAACCCAUAUGUCUGUGUCACAAAAAAUAAGUGAAAAAUGAAGGGAAUAAAGCACGUUUGUUCUUAAAAAAAAUUUAUUCUACAUCUUCUGGAACACAAAGGGAGAAAGUCAAACAACUACAGACACUUGAGGAAAAUCUUUAUAGUCCCGGUACGGAAAACUAUUCAGAAUGAGCAACUGCUCCACAGUCCACCAGGUUUAUUUACUUUCUAGAGCUGCUUCUGGUAACUCUAAAAUGUCUCAGGGACAAGCACAGCACAUCAAGUGCCCUGCUGUUGACUGCAAGAGUUAACACAAAGAGUCUUAAUGCAGUCCCAACAUCGGGGGAAUUCAACACCAAGUGGAUUAAAUUCAUUGAUGAUGGCAAUGUGUCCACAACAACAGGAAAAUCCAUAGUUUUAGCACAGAUGCAGCGAGUCUCCAGCAGUUCAGCUGCAUUUAAAGCUACAGACACUGACACAGUCUAUUUAGAACAAGUUUAAAACAGGGGUUUUACAGACAUGGUAAAAUUAACCAUCUUUGCAUGUUCUGCCCUGAGUGUUUAACUGUUAAAAAAUGUUUAUAUUGUUAUUCUAAAGUUUGGGAUUGCUGAGCUUUUAUUGUGAAGGCUGCAGUACACAGGAAGUAGGAAGUACGGAGCUGACUGAGAAAGCAUGUCCCAGGGAAAGCAUGUCAGCAGCUAGAUGAUGUUUUGUGUUAGACUCAGCAUUCUUCCAGUGUACGGAUCUCUCAGAAAGCAAUGGCUGAGGCUUCAGGGCAUGUAGAGGUUGACCCAUAAGGCAGAGGUUCUGCCUCAGACUGAGGUUGUAUUCGGUACCUGCAGCAUGUGUUUACCGGGAGGAGUACACAGAACCGACUAGAGCAGUGUGAGAAGAAGAACGUAAACAAGAAUGGAUAUACGAAAUGUUUUCAGGAGAGUAAGUAUUCAUCACUACUGAUAGUAACAUUAAGUUAGCUCUAGCCCCCCAACUAACAGCAGAAAGUCCUAUGUAAUUAAUGAACCAAAUGUUUCUUGUUUGGCAAAUAAAAAUCUGGCUUGUACAGUCUGUAGGAGAGAGUCCUUGUACAGGAGGCAGCGUGAGAUGCUGCUGUAUCUCUGUGCAUGUCUUACCUUUGUUGUUUUGUGGUCAAAAGUUACAUUUCAGCUCUAAAA